Molecule: ribosomal RNA, 444 nt
Filed under: uncultured bacterium
Lineage: Bacteria
Description: bacterial SSU rRNA
Rfam family: Bacterial small subunit ribosomal RNA
Source: RNAcentral
ACUCCGUACGGGAGGCAGCAGUAGGGAAGUAUUGCACAAGUGGGGAAACCCUGAUGCAGCCCAUGCCGCGUGUGUGAAAAGAAAGGGCCCUUUCGGGUUGUAAAGCACUUUCAGUAGGGAGGAAGGUAGUGUAGUUAACACCUGCAUUAUUUGACGUUACCUACAGAAGAAGCACCGGCUAACUCCGUGCCAGCAGCCGCGGUAAUACGGAGGGUGCGAGCGUUAAUCGGAAUUACUGGGCGUAAAGCGCAUGCAGGCGGCCUGUUAAGUCAGAUGUGAAAGCCCGGGGCUUAACCUCGGAAUUGCAUUUGAAACUGGCAGGCUAGAGUCUUGUAGAGGGGGUAGAAUUUCAGGUGUAGCGGUGAAAAUGCGUAGAGAUCUGAAGGAAUACCAGUGGCGAAGGCGGCCCCCUGGACAAAGACUGACGCUCAGAUGCGAAAGCGU